This is a long non-coding RNA of Lathyrus oleraceus (garden pea), 1121 nucleotides long. RefSeq lists it as uncharacterized. Lineage: Eukaryota; Viridiplantae; Streptophyta; Magnoliopsida; Fabales; Fabaceae. The record is from RefSeq and is a predicted model, not a curated record. The transcript has 3 exons.
AUCAUGAGUCGCUGUCAAGAUAAAGCAAGACUCAUGAAAACAUUGAAAAAGGAAUGUGGUCUUCUAAAAGAAGAACUAAAAAUUUUUCAAAAUAAAGUUGAAACUUUGGAGAAAGGUCACAUUACUCUAGUAAAUAAAUUAUCUGAUAAAAACUUGAAUGAGCGUGAGAUAGCUCUUCAAGAAUGUAUCAUAUCAGGUAUGGAAAGAAUCAAGUUUGCCUCCAUAAUAUAUGGAGUAAGCAAGAGCAAAGGAAAAGGUAUGAGUUAUGAUAAGAAUAAAGAUAAAGCUCAACUUAUAAAAACCUCAGAUGUUUCUCCUUCAAGCAAUUCUCAAACUAGUAAAGUAACUUGUUUUGUGCCUGCCUUUGACAAGGAUAAAAGUCUGAACAAAUCAGAACCCAAGAUGAUUGAGUCAAAGUUUCUGAAGAAAGUAGAACCUAAGAUCUAUGGACCUAAUGUUAUGAAGAGUGCAAAUGUCAAGAUUCAUUCUAGAAAAAACAUUUAUAAACAAAAAGUCUGGAAUGAAUAUAGAUCCUUCUAUCGGAAGAAGGCUCAGAAUAAAAUAAUACAUGUAAGAACUUACCAGAAAGGACCUAUAAAAGUAUGGGUACCUAAAUCUCAAAUUGGAAUCUCAAGUCAAAGGAGAAACUCCGGCGGUUCUUCAAGUGACGGUGUUGAGGAACGGUGAUCCACAAGCCUUCUACUUUCUCAGACUGAGCUUAGCAGAAUAAUGCAGGAUGUAAGGUGUUGGGAUCCUAAGCUUCUCAGCUAGAUUGGGUUUAAAGCGAAAGCUCGGUUAACAGAUAUGCAUUUCCUAUGGAUGUAUGGUGAUGAACCUUGGCUGUUGUAGGAUUAUUGCAGACCGGUGGUGAGGUUUGCAGAUUUUGCUUUGCUACGAGUUGCACAGAUUGUCAGUGGUAUAACAUGUAGGUUGUAAGCUAUGAAGACCAAGGAAACUAGAAUCAUUCUCAUCUUGUCAUGUUAAUGUAGUUACCAUUAUUUGACCAAAAGAAUGUAAUUGUAGGAGACUUGCUUAUGUAAUAAAAAAUGUGUUGUAUAGCUUCCCUCUUAUGCAAAUAUUUGAUGCAUUCCAUGUGAACUAAAGUUACAAGAUUUACACCA